GGCUUAUUUUCUCUGUGUAUCGAUCUCUCUCCAUCACUUCUCUCUCUCAGCCAAAAUGGGGAAAACUCGUGGAAUGGGAGCUGCUCGUAAGCUGAAGUCCCACCGCAGGAGGCAGAGGUGGGCUGACAAGGCUUACAAGAAAUCCCAUCUUGGGAAUGAGUGGAAGAAACCUUUUGCUGGGUCAUCCCAUGCCAAAGUGGAAUUGAAGCUAAGCAGCCGAACUCUGCUAUCAGAAAAUGUGCUCGUGUNCUCAAGAAUGGGAAGAAAAUUGCAGCCUUUGUACCAAAUGAUGGUUGCUUAAACUUCAUUGAGGAAAAUGAUGAAGCAUUGAUUGCUGGAUUUGGACGGAAGGGGG
RNAcentral lists this unclassified non-coding RNA (355 nucleotides) under Hevea brasiliensis (rubber tree). Lineage: Eukaryota; Viridiplantae; Streptophyta; Magnoliopsida; Malpighiales; Euphorbiaceae. The record is from RNAcentral.